RNAcentral lists this ribosomal RNA (100 nucleotides) under Acanthosepion pharaonis. The record is from RNAcentral. Lineage: Eukaryota; Metazoa; Mollusca; Cephalopoda; Sepiida; Sepiidae.
CAUUGAAACAUCGGUUCCCGUACGAUCACCGAAUUUAAGCAACGUCGAUCCUGGUCACUACCUAGAUGAGUGACCACUUGGGAAUACCAGGUGCUGUAAG